This 483-nucleotide ribosomal RNA is filed under the name uncultured bacterium. Its description in RNAcentral is "partial 16S ribosomal RNA". It matches the Rfam family "Bacterial small subunit ribosomal RNA", at positions 28 to 523 of the family's 1533-position model. The record is from RNAcentral.
GACGAACGCUGGCGGCGUGCUUAACACAUGCAAGUCGAACGAUGAAGCUGGAGCUUGCUCCGGUGGAUUAGUGGCGAACGGGUGAGUAACACGUGAGCAAUCUGCCCUUGACUCUGGGAUAACUGCGGGAAACUGUAGCUAAUACCGGAUACGACACCUUGGGGCAUCCCAGGGUGUGGAAAGAGUUUCGGUCAAGGAUGAGCUCGCGGCCUAUCAGCUAGUUGGUGAGGUAAUGGCUCACCAAGGCGACGACGGGUAGCCGGCCUGAGAGGGUGAUCGGCCACACUGGAACUGAGACACGGUCCAGACUCCUACGGGAGGCAGCAGUGGGGAAUAUUGCACAAUGGGCGAAAGCCUGAUGCAGCAACGCCGCGUGAGGGAUGAGGGCCUUCGGGUUGUAAACCUCUUUUAGCAGGGAAGAAGCGAAAGUGACGGUACCUGCAGAAAAAGCACCGGCUAACUACGUGCCAGCCGCCGCCGUAA